This is a small nucleolar RNA of Panicum virgatum (switchgrass), 107 nucleotides long. Lineage: Eukaryota; Viridiplantae; Streptophyta; Magnoliopsida; Poales; Poaceae. The record is from RefSeq and is a predicted model, not a curated record.
AUUCCAUGGUGCGGACACGCCAAAAUAUACUCCUGAAGCCUCUCCCAUGCUUCCAGAAUUGACUCAUUUGAUGCCUACUAGAAGUUCGAAAUCUGACCACGAAGAGC